AGUGAACGCUGGCGGUAGGCCUAACACAUGCAAGUCGAACGGCAGCACAGUAAGAGCUUGCUCUUACGGGUGGCGAGUGGCGGACGGGUGAGGAAUACAUCGGAAUCUACUUUUUCGUGGGGGUUAACGUAGGGAAACUUACGCUAAUACCGCAUACGACCUACGGGUGAAAGCAGGGGAUCUUCGGACCUUGCGCGAUUGAAUGAGCCGAUGUUGGAUUAGCUAGUUGGCGGGGUAAAGGCCCACCAGGUCGACGAUCCGUAGCUGGUCUGAGAGGAUGAUAAGCCACACUGGAGCUGGGACACGGUCCAGACGCCUAAGGGAGGCAGCAGUGGGGAAUAUUGGACAAUGGGCGCAAGCCUGAUCCAGCCAUACCGCGUGGGUGAAGAAGGCCUUCGGGUUGUAAAGCCCUUUUGUUGGGAAAGAAAAGCAGCAGGUUAAUACCACGCUGUUCUGACGGUACCCAAAGAAUAAGCACCGGCUAACUUCGUG
Molecule: ribosomal RNA, 492 nt
Filed under: uncultured bacterium
Lineage: Bacteria
Description: partial 16S ribosomal RNA
Rfam family: Bacterial small subunit ribosomal RNA
Source: RNAcentral